This is a long non-coding RNA of Sphaeramia orbicularis (orbiculate cardinalfish), 89 nucleotides long. RefSeq lists it as uncharacterized. The transcript has 4 exons. The record is from RefSeq and is a predicted model, not a curated record. Lineage: Eukaryota; Metazoa; Chordata; Actinopteri; Kurtiformes; Apogonidae.
GGAGGUCAGAGGAGGAGGUCAAAGGUCAGUCAGUGGGAGGAGCCGUUAAUGUUCAAUUAUGUCGUAUUCUGUUUGCUUCCAGAGCAACG